CGCAUGGUGCUCGUUCUUAUGCUUGUGGUGUGUCUGGUGACGAAAUAGUUUUACUUUCCACCCGGUCUUUUAACUCCAUCGAAAUACUUUGUAAUAUAAUCCCUGAAGUCUUCUGUCUCUAGCUUCCAGAGAUUCUACACAAAAACCUACCAUUUCGUCAAACAUGAGACUGAAAUAAAGAUGUAGGAAAAUUACAGUACUUAAAAUGAACACAAAUCGGCAGAGUAUGAAUAAUUCGUAUUUGAAUUGUUCUACGGACGGUAAUAUAUAGCAGUCUUUGAUACGAGAGGAAAUAAAUGUUAAAGUAAUUUAGACUGAUGGUAAAGCUCUGCGUUAGCGUGCUAAAGUGCGCCUGAAGUUUGUUGUCAUUUAUUACCCUUAUUACCAGUUCCUCGUCAUUCAGCAGCCACGGCUGGACAGACACCGUCAAUUUCGCAAUAAUAUUACCAUAUUAAAAAUAAUUUUUUAAAACCUUCAAUUUAAACUGUGGUCUCAUGAUUUGUAAGCCCAGAAGCCUAACAGCUGCUGUGUCACCCAGUGCUCAAGUCUCACUUAGACUGCAUAUCAUCCUCUGUGUUUUGUCGUCAUUGAAUUGAAUUGAAUUGAAUUUUAUUUGAUCCAGUAAGAUUACAUUGUGUACAGUAAAUGUACGUGUAAUAUAGGACAUGUCAAAGUGUUAACAUUCCUUAUGUCAUCAAUUUCCAUCUAGUUCUUGCCCUCACUGAAUGGGACGUCUGCUUGUCGAACAGCUUGAAGUACACUCUCCCCUUUUGAGAACGAAGUUGUGUCUGCAAACUGCCAAGUGUGCCCAUUGGAGCCUAUGUAAUUAACGAAAAUUAAGAACAACAAGGGCACUAUUACGGAACCCUAUGAAAUAGAAUGUUUUUAUAUUCAUUUCAGCUGAUUCUGCUACUUGUACUGAUACAGUGAGUCAUCUGUUAUUUAGGUUGGAUUUGAGAGUAUGUAGAACAGCUCCCCCAGUACCAUAUGAUUUUAACUUGCUGAGCAGGGCCAUAUGUGGGAUACAAUCAGAUGCCAUAGAAAGGUCACAGAGUACCAGUGCUACGGACUCCAUUUCUUCAAAACCCUGACUUUUUUUGUGAGAGUCAAGUACUGUUGUUGUAGUCAACUUACCCUUCUGAAAGCUAUACUGUGUAUCGUAAAAGGGGUUAUUUCCUUCAAAAUAACUUAAUAGCCCCUUUUCCAUAAUGGACUCUGUCACCUUUAGUACAUGACAUGGAUGAAAUUCAAUGCUUGUUCGUGACUCCAUAGGUAAAGAAAAACACUGCUGUGGAUGAAUAGUCAGUACACCAUCAUACACAGUAUCUGUUCAUGUUUUGUAAUUGUAUUAGUAAUGACCUGUUGGAAUUUAAAAUAAAAUUAUGAUUAUUAUACCCAGAAAGGGCAGCCUUUUACUAUUAUUGCCACAUAUGUUGUAGCAUAUGAACUGAAUAAUUCAUUCGACUCUUUGCAACAUCAAUACAUUUCGCAUAGGUUUCAGCACUCUGAUGUGCUGCUUGCAUUAUCGU
Schistocerca gregaria is the source of this 1529-nucleotide long non-coding RNA. RefSeq lists it as uncharacterized. The transcript is spliced from 2 exons. NCBI's taxonomy places the organism in Eukaryota, Metazoa, Arthropoda, Insecta, Orthoptera, Acrididae. The record is from RefSeq and is a predicted model, not a curated record.